RNAcentral lists this long non-coding RNA (1387 nucleotides) under Sus scrofa (pig). RNAcentral's name for it is "lncRNA (ENSSSCG00070004847.1)". The record is from RNAcentral. Lineage: Eukaryota; Metazoa; Chordata; Mammalia; Artiodactyla; Suidae.
AUGUCAGCAGUCCUCCCUGUUGUGAUAGAUUGCAUAGGAUGCUGCUUCCGGAUCCAAAGGAACAAUCGACAGACGUCACAAAGAUCCACCUCUGGCUGCAUCAGAAAAUUAUGCUCCUGGCGCCACCAGCGAGUGCACCCCGCUAAUGGGUCGGGGACAGAAGAAACCCCGGGCUCCCAUGAAAGGCUGCCCAGCACCGCAGGAGGAAUAGAGGCUCCAAGUGGCUGCACAAUGCCGGCCGAUGACGCAACUAAUAAUAAUGGCAUGGCUUUGGAGCGCCCCACUCCAGUGACAAACAAUCGGGGUGAAGAAGAAGAAGGUGGGUCUUCCUUGCGGGCAUUGGUUGGAGAGCAGCCAGAUCCUGGGUUCCUUUUGGAAAGGGGGUAGUCUGGGAUGUGGAGCAGGCAGCUCUUUCCCAGUCAUAGUGAUGCCCUGGUGGCACCUGCCCUGGACACAAGUCUCUUGUGUUGAUUCCUUGGGUUGUGACACAUUCCGAGGGACAGGGAGUGAGGUCCAUGUGUGAGCACAUGUGGUGUAAGUAUCUGUUUCCUCAUGAGCUCUCUCCUAUUUAUACAGAAAAUACACCGCUCAACGUUCCUUAAGAAACAUCCCAUCACCUCUGCGUACCACCGCUAUAGGCAUGCAUUCGCCCCUCACCACUGCUGUCCCCACGUUGGCUUAAUUUUCCCGUUGCUCAGGUGGAGAUGGUGCAGAGAGAGUUGGCCCAAGCUCUUGACCUCCUACAUGGGAAAGCCAAAGUGGGCACCAGGCUGGGUUCCCUAUGGGGACGCUCUGGACCCCUGACCUGCACCUCUCCCUCAGCCAGGACUUGGUCGUUCGUGGGGAGCACGGAGCGGGGAGGGUCCCUGCUCCGUGUCUAUGCCCGGGAAUUCCAGGGUCUCCAGAGGGCCUGUCGAUGCUGUGCAUUUUAAAAGGUCCCUGUCAGUGCUGCGGUCAUUGCUUCAACAUGGCCAAAGCAGAUGGGAAUCGGCGAGGCGUAUGCUUGUAUUGGACAGUGUCACUGUCAUUCUCACACUUGACCACCCUAGGUAGCACACACCCAGGCGACCUUGCAAGUAAGAGCUCACAGUUCACCCUCAUCCUUAGCCUGGUGUGCGGCACCAGUGUACAAACUCGCUGCCCUACUUGGUGAGAAGGACUCCGUGCUCCCUCUGUGUUUCUCUCCAUGAAGUAAGUCCCUCUUGUUGUAAGGCUCUUGGGAGGGCAGACAUCCUUUUUGCUCAAGGCCCAUGCACCAAAUGAAGCCUGCAGAAAAACUGUCAUGUGAUGGAUAGUGGUUGGAUUUCAGUAUUGUCAUGUGUUCUAUUUUUGGUUUUUAAGAUCAACGUUUUUGGGUUAAGAUCCCUUCAUUAGCAUACUUUUCCUA